CAGUCGCCGCGGUAAUACGUAGGUGGCAAGCGUUGUCCGGAAUUAUUGGGCGUAAAGGGCUCGCAGGCGGUUUCUUAAGUCUGAUGUGAAAGCCCCCGGCUCAACCGGGGAGGGUCACUGGAAACUGGGAAACUUGAGUGCAGAAGAGGAGAGUGGAAUUCCACGUGUAGCGGUGAAAUGCGUAGAGAUGUGGAGGAACACCAGUGGCGAAGGCGACUCUCUGGUCUGUAACUGACGCUGAGGAGCGAAAGCGUGGGGAGCGAACAGGAUUAGAUACCCCCGUAGUCCCUGUCUCUUAUAA
This 301-nucleotide ribosomal RNA is filed under the name uncultured bacterium. Its description in RNAcentral is "partial 16S ribosomal RNA". It matches the Rfam family "Bacterial small subunit ribosomal RNA", at positions 509 to 809 of the family's 1533-position model. The record is from RNAcentral.